Molecule: ribosomal RNA, 274 nt
Filed under: uncultured bacterium
Lineage: Bacteria
Description: partial 16S ribosomal RNA
Rfam family: Bacterial small subunit ribosomal RNA
Source: RNAcentral
AUACGGAGGGGGUUAGCGUUGUUCGGAAUUACUGGGCGUAAAGCGCACGUAGGCGGAUUGGAAAGUUGGGGGUGAAAUCCCAGGGCUCAACCCUGGAACUGCCUCCAAAACUAACAGUCUAGAGUUCGAGAGAGGUGAGUGGAAUUCCAAGUGUAGAGGUGAAAUUCGUAGAUAUUUGGAGGAACACCAGUGGCGAAGGCGGCUCACUGGCUCGAUACUGACGCUGAGGUGCGAAAGCGAGGGGAGCAAACAGGAUUAGAAACCCCGGUAGUCC